AAGUCUCCCCCGCCCGGUGAAAGGCCGCGGUAUUUCGCCCGCGCAAAGGAGCAUAAUCAUUAGUUUUUUAAAAGAAAGCUUGUAGAAGGGUUGAAUGAAACAUUCCCUGUCUCAUAAAAAAUUUUUAAAAUUUUAUUUUUUAGUUAAAAAGCUAAAAUUUAAUUAGAGGACGAGAAGCCCCUAUAGAGUUUAAUAAUUUUAUUAAUUUUAUAUUUAAUUAAUAAUAAUAUAGUUUAAAAAUAAAUUAUUUUAUUGGGGAGAUAAUAAAAUUUAAAAAACUUUUAUAUAAAUUUUACAAAAAUUAUUGAAUAUUUGAUCCUAUUAUAUAGAUUAAAAAUUUAAAUUACCUUAGGGAUAACAGCAUAGUUUUUUUAUAA
RNAcentral lists this ribosomal RNA (377 nucleotides) under Macrocera sp. ER-2009. RNAcentral's name for it is "partial 16S ribosomal RNA". Lineage: Eukaryota; Metazoa; Arthropoda; Insecta; Diptera; Keroplatidae. The record is from RNAcentral.